AUUGAACGCUGGCGGCAUGCCUUACACAUGCAAGUCGAACGGUAGAGGGGGCAACCCCUUGAGAGUGGCGAACGGGUGAGUAAUGCAUCGGAACGUGCCCAGUUGUGGGGGAUAACACUUCGAAAGAAGUGCUAAUACCGCAUACGACCUGAGGGUGAAAGCGGGGGACUCGCAAGAGCCUCGCGCAAUUGGAGCGGCCGAUGUCAGAUUAGGUAGUUGGUGGGGUAAAAGCCUACCAAGCCGACGAUCUGUAGCUGGUCUGAGAGGACGACCAGCCACACUGGGACUGAGACACGGCCCAGACUCCUACGGGAGGCAGCAGUGGGGAAUUUUGGACAAUGGACGCAAGUCUGAUCCAGCCAUGCCGCGUGCAGGAAGAAGGCCUUCGGGUUGUAAACUGCUUUUGUCAGGGAAGAAAUCCCUUGGGUUAAUACCUCGGGGGGAUGACGGUACCUGAAGAAUAAGCACCGGCUAACUACGUGCCAGCCGCCGCCGUAA
RNAcentral lists this ribosomal RNA (498 nucleotides) under uncultured bacterium. Its description in RNAcentral is "partial 16S ribosomal RNA". It matches the Rfam family "Bacterial small subunit ribosomal RNA", at positions 30 to 523 of the family's 1533-position model. The record is from RNAcentral.